This 253-nucleotide ribosomal RNA is filed under the name uncultured bacterium. RNAcentral's name for it is "partial 16S ribosomal RNA". It matches the Rfam family "Bacterial small subunit ribosomal RNA", at positions 524 to 776 of the family's 1533-position model. The record is from RNAcentral.
UACAGAGAGUGCGAACGUUGUUCGGAAUUACUGGGCUUAAAGCGCGCGUAGGCGGCGAUACAAGUGUCGGGUGAAAUCCCACGGCUCACCCGUGGAACUGCCCGGCAAACUGUAUUGCUCGAGUGUGGUAGGGGAGAGCGGAACUCCUGGUGGAGCGGUGAAAUGCGUAGAUAUCAGGAGGAACACCGGUGGCGAAGGCGGCUCUCUGGUCCACAACUGACGCUGAGGCGCGAAAGCUAGGGUAGCGAACGGG